Molecule: long non-coding RNA, 872 nt
Filed under: Ananas comosus (pineapple)
Lineage: Eukaryota; Viridiplantae; Streptophyta; Magnoliopsida; Poales; Bromeliaceae
Description: long non-coding RNA (ACOM_LNC003353)
Source: RNAcentral
CCCUCUCUCUCUCAAUCUCUCUCUCUCUCUUUGUAAAUGUUCUCUCUCUCUCUCUCUCUCUGAACAUCUUCCCACCUCCUUCCCCACUCUCCCUAUCUCACUCUCUCUCUCUCUGGACGCCCUAGUCCAGACCCAACCACCCCUCUCCCAAACCUCGCUCCUCACUAUCACGCCGCCCCCGACUCGCCGCCCUCCUUUGUGCGCGCAACCCACCUCUCACACCACCCCCCGCUCUCCGCGUCGCCCCUCUCUAUCAAACGAGGUAUGACCUUUUCUUCUCAGAUUUUUUUUUUUGACUUUUUUUUUUGUUAUUGCAACAUAAAAAAAUAGAUCUACUAUUUUUAUUUUUCAUAUGUUUUUUUUUUAAUUUGUUUCUUGAUUUUUUGUNCUAUAUAUAUAUAUAUAUAUAUAUAUAUAUAUAUAUAUAUAUAUAUAUAGAGUCAGGCUGCUAUGCUAUUGAUAGCAUAGUAGCACUCAUGCUAGUGAGUUUUUAACCACUAGAUCGCUUCAAGAUCUGUGCGGGGCUUUUGUGGGAGGUUAACGGAAAGAGAGCCCGUUAAGUCACGUUUGUUGCCCUCUCUCUCUCUCUUCGUAAAUGUUGUCUCUCUCUCUCUCUCUCUCUCUCUCUCUCUCUCUGAACAUCUUCCCACCUCCUUCCCCACUCUCCCUAUCUCACUCUCUCCCUCUCUGGACGCCCUAGUCCAGACCCAACAACCCCUCUCCCAAACCUCGCUCCUCACUAUCACGCCGCCCCCGGCUCGCCGCCCUCCUUCUCUGUGCGCGCAACCCCGGCUCGCCACCCUCCUUCUCUGUGCGCGCAACCCACCUCUCACACCACCCCCCGCUCUCCGCGUUGCCCCUCUCUAUCAAAC